Molecule: non-coding RNA, 967 nt
Filed under: Microkayla sp. Utururo
Lineage: Eukaryota; Metazoa; Chordata; Amphibia; Anura; Craugastoridae
Description: partial 12S ribosomal RNA
Rfam family: Bacterial small subunit ribosomal RNA
Source: RNAcentral
AGCCUUAAAAACUCUUUAAACACAAAGGCUUGGUCCUGGCCUUAACAUCAAUUCCCACUUAAUUUACACAUGCAAGUUUCCGCACCCCCGUGAAAACGCCCUUAAACCCCUUCAGGGAUAAGGAGCUGGUAUCAGGCACAAAAAAUUGCCCAAAACACCUAGCUAUGCCACGCCCACAAGGGUCACAGCAGUGAUUAAUAUUAGACAUAAACGACAGUUUGAUUUAGUUAAAGUGAAAUAGAGCCGGCAAAACUGGUGCCAGCCGCCGCGGUUACACCACGAGGCUCAAAUUGAUUUGUACCGGCGUAAAGCGUGAUUAAAGCCUUAAAUAUUUUAGGGUUAAAACUGGACUAAGCCGUGACAUGCUUGUCCAUAAGAAACUCACACAACGAAAGUUGCCCUAAUUCAACUGACUUGAAUUCACGAUAGCUAGGGCCCAAACUGGGAUUAGAUACCCCAUUAUGCCUAGCCCUAAACUUUAACUUACACCCCCUCACCCACACGCCAGGGAACUACGAGCAACGCUUAAAACCCAAAGGACUUGACGGUACCCCACAUCCACCUAGAGGAGCCUGUCCUAUAAUUGAUGACCCCCGCUAAACCUUACCACUUUUAGUCUAUCAGCUUGUAUACUUCCGUCUUCAGCUUACCCCGUGAGCGUAAUUCAGUGAGCUUAAUGCCUACUCCGCCGAUACGUCAGGUCAAAGUGCAGCUAAUACAGUGGAAAGAGAUGGGCUACACUCUCUAACCUAGAGAAUACGAAAGACUAUGCUGAAAUCAUAUCAGAAGGCGGAUUUAGAAGUAAAAAGGAAGUAAAGAGUCCUUUUUAACCUGGCCCUGGGGUGUGUACACACCGCCCGUCACCCUCUUCAAAAACACCAACUAGUACAUAACACAUUUUUUAACAAAGAAGAGGUAAGUCGUAACAUGGUAAGUAUACCGGAAGGUGUGCUUGGAUACAAAAUAU